GGUUCUAUAGUGUAAUGGCAAACACAUAUGCCUUUGAAGCAUGUAAUCUGGGUUCAAUUCCCAGUAGAACCA
Molecule: transfer RNA, 72 nt
Filed under: Flavobacteriaceae bacterium
Lineage: Bacteria; Pseudomonadati; Bacteroidota; Flavobacteriia; Flavobacteriales; Flavobacteriaceae
Description: tRNA-Gln
Rfam family: tRNA
About the family: Transfer RNA (tRNA) molecules are approximately 80 nucleotides in length.
Source: RNAcentral